RNAcentral lists this long non-coding RNA (496 nucleotides) under Dermacentor andersoni. Its description in RNAcentral is "uncharacterized LOC126548103". Lineage: Eukaryota; Metazoa; Arthropoda; Arachnida; Ixodida; Ixodidae. The record is from RNAcentral.
CGCGCAGUUCGAAGUGCCGACGCGCGAAAUGCCUAGACGCGGGCUCGAGGAGUCGACGCUCGAUGCGCUUAUUCGCGCAGUCCGAAGUGCCGACGCGCGAAAUGCCUAGACGCGGGCUCGAGGAGUCGACGCUCGAUGCGCUUAUUCGCGCAGUCCGAAGUGCCGACGCGCGAAAUGCCUAGACGCGGGCUCGAGGAGUCGACGCUCGAUGCGCUUAUUCGCGCAGUCCGAAGUGCCGACGCGCGAAAUGCCUAGACGCGGGCUCGAGGAGUCGACGCUCGAUGCGCUUAUUCGCGCAGUCCGAAGUGCCGACGCGCGAAAUGCCUAGACGCGGGCUCGAGGAGUCGACGCUCGAUGCGCUUAUUCGCGCAGUCCGAAGCGCCGAUGUACAAAAUGCUUAUGCGAGGGUGCGAGAUGUCCGCGCGCGAUGUGCUUGAUCGCCGAGUCGGAGACUCCUAUGCGUGAAAUGCUUAGCCGCGGUACGAGGAUUGCGUGC